This 67-nucleotide transfer RNA is filed under the name Amoria hunteri. RNAcentral's name for it is "tRNA-Tyr". It matches the Rfam family "tRNA". From Rfam's summary of the family: Transfer RNA (tRNA) molecules are approximately 80 nucleotides in length. Their secondary structure includes four short double-helical elements and three loops (D, anti-codon, and T loops). Further hydrogen bonds mediate the characteristic L-shaped molecular structure. tRNAs have two regions of fundamental functional importance: the anti-codon, which is responsible for specific mRNA codon recognition, and the 3' end, to which the tRNAs corresponding amino acid is attached (by aminoacyl-tRNA synthetases). tRNAs cope with the degeneracy of the genetic code in two manners: having more than one tRNA (with a specific anti-codon) for a particular amino acid; and 'wobble' base-pairing, i.e. permitting non-standard base-pairing at the 3rd anti-codon position. Lineage: Eukaryota; Metazoa; Mollusca; Gastropoda; Neogastropoda; Volutidae. The record is from RNAcentral.
UGCUAGGUGGCUGAGUAUAAAGCGGUAGACUGUAGAUCUAUCAAUGGAAUUAAGUUUCCCCAGCUGU